RNAcentral lists this ribosomal RNA (200 nucleotides) under uncultured bacterium. RNAcentral describes it as "partial 16S ribosomal RNA". It matches the Rfam family "Bacterial small subunit ribosomal RNA", at positions 8 to 208 of the family's 1533-position model. The record is from RNAcentral.
AGAGUUUGAUCCUGGCUCAGAAUGAACGUUGGCGGCGUGGAUUAGGCAUGCAAGUCGAACGGGCCUGGUUUUCGGAUCAGGUCAGUGGCGCAAGGGUGAGUAAGGCGACGGUAACCAACCCCAUGGUUGGGUAUAGCCGCGGGAAACUGCGGGUAAUCCCCAGCGAUGUAAGACGCCGGCAUCGGUGUUUUAUCAAAGCU